Molecule: ribosomal RNA, 119 nt
Filed under: Capsicum annuum
Lineage: Eukaryota; Viridiplantae; Streptophyta; Magnoliopsida; Solanales; Solanaceae
Also listed under: 1 other name
Source: RNAcentral
UGAUGCGAUCAUACCAGCACUAACGCACCGGAUCCCAUCAGAACUCCGAAGUUAAGCGUGCUUGGGCGAGAGUAGUACUAGGAUGGGUGACCCCCUGGGAAGUCCUCGUGUUGCAUCCC